Sapajus apella (tufted capuchin) is the source of this 581-nucleotide RNA transcript. RefSeq lists it as uncharacterized. The transcript has a single exon. The record is from RefSeq and is a predicted model, not a curated record. NCBI's taxonomy places the organism in Eukaryota, Metazoa, Chordata, Mammalia, Primates, Cebidae.
ACACCAAUUCGACCCCAAUGAUGGCUGAUCUCUCCCGCUGUCUCGUAAAAUUACACUCCUUCCUGAUGAACUCUGGGGACCCCUCUUCCUGCAGCCUUGUCCUUGGGGAGUAGAGGGAAAUACCUGCAGUGACCCUGCCCCCACGACAUUGGCCAGGCAGGACAAUUCUGGAGCCUGUACUGUGGGGAUCCUCACUGGCCAGCCCAGCCCUGUCUGCAAGCCAGGCUGGGCCUGGGUGUCACUUCGCUGGGCUCUCCCUAGGCUAUCAGCAGUGAAUACCCCCACACCCGCCACUGGGAGCCUGGGCUCUCUGUCAGUCCCUUGGUCUCUGGCCUGGGCCUGGGCUGCUCUGCUGCCUGCCCUCCUUUGUGUAUCAAGUGUCACUCACAGUCCCAUUCACUGGGGAGCCUUUCGGAUCUAUUUGGUCUUUCUCGUGCCCCCACUGGUCUGUACCCCGGGGAAGGGGUGCUUGUACUGUGAAUCCAGUGUUCACAUUCACACUUAAUGACUUCCUUGGCACAAAUCAUGUAUUUCACCAUUUGCACUUUUUGUAUUUCAAUAAAAAUAGAGAUGCAAAACUG